Sebastes umbrosus (honeycomb rockfish) is the source of this 611-nucleotide long non-coding RNA. RefSeq lists it as uncharacterized. The record is from RefSeq and is a predicted model, not a curated record. Lineage: Eukaryota; Metazoa; Chordata; Actinopteri; Perciformes; Sebastidae. The transcript has 2 exons.
UCGUCAAAGUCGCUCACAUCUUUACGCUGACCCAUUUCUUCUGCUUCCAACACAAAGUUCAAAGUUCAAAAUGUUCACUUGCUGUUUAAUAUAUCCCCCCCCCACUGCCUAGUGCCAUUGAAACCAGAUAGUCAAUGUUAUUCACUUCACCUGUCAGUGGUCUUAAUUCAACCACUUCAGCAAACAGCAGAGACAUAAAAGCUCUUGGGAUUGUUAGGAUUAAAGUCUCCCUUUGCACAACUCCACAAGACAAACUUCAGUUUGAGCACUUCAAUUUCAGUGCAAUUUAUUUAAGUAGUGUCAAAUCAUAACAGAAGUUAUCUCAACACGCUUUUGAUAUAGAGAGGUGAAGUCCCGCCCCUUCCGGUGGACCACCAUGAGACCUUAUUUCGGAAAAACUAUGAAACAGUGUUUUUUUAUUGCGCCAUGAAUCACACAUAUGUUUGUCAAUUUGAAACAUAAUUUUGCAAGUCAAGAAAGUCUCAGUUUGUUGUAAAACUAUUGAAGCAUCAGACUGAAAAUACGUAAUCAGAAAGACGACACCCCCAAAAGUUGCAUAAGUCUCUCUCUCUGAAGCUACAAUACUUGUGUGUUUCCUACUGGGAUGAACU